Long non-coding RNA from Cuculus canorus (common cuckoo), 20747 nucleotides. RefSeq lists it as uncharacterized. The record is from RefSeq and is a predicted model, not a curated record. The transcript has 15 exons. NCBI's taxonomy places the organism in Eukaryota, Metazoa, Chordata, Aves, Cuculiformes, Cuculidae.
GUGAGUACAGGACAAAUAAGGCUGUAGUGUGAUCUGCUUGCAACAGGCUUGGCUGAGUGACUCUGUCUUCAGGCAGCUCUGGGGCUCAAUGGGUAGGAUUACUUGUGCCUUUGGUUUAAAACAGCUGUCUGUGAACACCAUGGCUAUGAAAGAGGGUGAUGAUGUGGCCAUCCUGGUGUAUUCUGACUUGCUAAUUCCUCUGGAAGCAGUAGUGAAGGGUUUCUUGAGGAAGCAAGGAUGGGAGAGGUGAAGUAGAUGAUAAAUGGGCAAUUCACUGGGGAAAAAGUUAGAAUAGAAACCUGGGGAUGGGGAAAAGUGCCAGUUAUGGGAUACCAGAAUAAAACCCCUCCCAGAAUAUGGAUACCAGAACAAAAAUCCUCACAGAACAUGAAAAUGGCUUGAGCUUCAGGGAAACGGUCAAAGCUGAUUUGUUUUAGUGUGUGUGUACAGGAGGCCAAGGACUUAAAAGGAGUACCUACUGCAAGCGAGAAUAAUGGAGAGGUUCUUAAAAGAAAUGGGUUGAGAAAUACCCAUUAAGUAUUUAUAGACCUGACUUGAAAUGAUGAAACUGGAAUGUGUUCCAGCCGGUGAGCUGUUACAGGAAUACGCUGGGAAUGGUGGAAUGGGUGGUGAGGUGUGAUAUUAAAGCUACCAGUGCAUGGCCUAAAAUAAAAGUGAGCAUUGUCCUCUAGGCUUGAAAGCUCCAGCAAGGAGAGUGCUGUCUGGGGCUGGGCGCCUGCGAGCUGCAUCACGCUUUGGAAAGUUUUCAUUUUAGCUCAAGAAUGAAUUAAAAGGCAGCGGCCUUUCCUGCUCCGGCUGCUGCGCGAUGACAGCCAAGGUGAGCCUGUAAGGAUGCUGACUUCUGUUGGUAGUGGUUGGGUUAGGAAAUCUCGAGAGACCCGCCAAGCUGUGUUUGAGAUGUUGGCAGCCUGCAUCUCUCUGAGCAGGACACGGUCUUGGCUUGUCUGGUGAGAAGGUGCAACAUUGCUACUGGGGUGGUAAAGCUGGAGAAAUGGGGAUUCUCAGCUGAAUUUUAGCCCGUAACACAGGUAGAAAUAUGUUUUUAUUUCUUUUAAUAAGAUAGGGAAGUACAGAUACUUCAGAUUUGAAAUAUAAAAGGCAGAAGUGAGAAUUACUCCAGAAUGCCUGCUUCUGCUUGGAGAAGGAUGCUAAAGUGAUGCAUGCAUGAGUAUUUUCCAAUGCUAGAAUGAUACACAUUGUAAACAGCUACAAAACAGGUUGUUGUGUGCAUUGUGCUGGGUGCAUGGCUAAGGUAAAAGCUGGCAAACUUAAUUAUAAUGCUCGGAGAUAGGUUCUUGAUUGGCUGCGCUGCCUGAUUAAGCACAGAGCUUCCCUCUCCAACAGCAGCCGUUCUGCAGUGCAUAAAUUACCACCUGUCCACGACACUUUUUGGAGUAGGACCUGUGUUUAUAGCAUCUUCUAAUGGGUAAGGGAUUUGAGGAGCAGAUUAGUUUGACCUAGAGCAGGGAGAAAGCAUACUGAUAAUCUUCACGCUGAGAGUGGAGAGGCACUGGCACGUGUUGCCCAGAGCAGUGGUGGCUGCCCCAUCCCUGGAGGUGUUCAAGGUCAGGUUGGAUGGGACUUGGAGGAACCUGAUCCAGUGGGAGGUGUCCCUGUCCAUGGCAGGGGAUUGGAACUGGGUGUGCUUUGAGGUUCCUUCCAACCCAAACUAUUCUAUCAUAAACGAGGAGCUGCUUUCUGGUCUGAAUGCCCCUAUAGAAAGCAGGUGUCUAGAACAAUUAUUUGCUGCUGGAUGGACAGAGAACUUGAAAUUUUUGCAGUGGAUUGCAAGGGGGAUGUUUGGCUGUAGAAGUGCCACUUUAAAGGGUAGAUGGUUGGUGCAAGUCUUUUAAAAUGCUGAUCUUGCAGGAGCUAAGAAUUCCAGCAUCGACUGGAUUCUAGCAGUGGGGCCUGGAUUUUCAAAUGAUGAUUUUCGUAUUGUCUUAAACCUAGAAAAAAAAAUGGCCUUGUCUCCUUUUCAGAACCCUGAGCUGUUUGCGGCUUGUCCUGAUCCGAAGCUUAGAGUUGUCAAAUUCCUAUAAAUCCUAAUAAAAGACAACCCUGUACACACAUCUCUGCUCUUAAGUCUGACACUCUCAGGCGUUGAAGGUUUUUCUGGAGGUGCUGUGUUGAUAACCUUCCUCAUGUACAAGGAGUGGGUGUGAUGCUCUCACAUGGGACCUCUGGUGUCGAUGCAUAUUUUUAUAUGAGAAAUUAGAGGCAGAAAUAAGGUAACCCUAUCCCAGCAGCCUCGGGCAGUGAAGUCUCGCACAUCCUACGGUUGGUAAAAGGCAAAGAAAACUAGUGGGUGUUGAAGUAGUCAUGAGAGGCAGCUCUUUGGUGAAGAGCAAAAACUGGCAGGAGUUAGGGUGGAGGGAGAGCAGGGUCUGUAAAGUCUAACAGUUCUCCUAGGGCUCCAGCUUUACCGGGGAGAGCGAGAGAAGUGCAAAACCACAUGAAUUUGGGCAGCUUUGAAGAAUUCUGGCAGUCUUCUAUUUUUUUUCUCUUCUGAAUGAGAACAUAAAAAGAGCUGAAGGAGGAAGGUACAGUUCCUCCGCACAAGAGGGUUCUUGAGAUCCCCUAGUGGUUCCCCUGUGCACCCGUGAGGAGAGGGCAGCUGAUGAGAAGGACAGACCAUUGCUCACCCCUCCUAGAGGGUCCUAAGGAAGGAGGAGCUGCACUCUGAAGGAUUUGCCCCAGCUGGAAGGACAGACUUGCUCUUCAUACCUACUUCAGCAGCUUCAGAGUGUAAGUCUGUCAUCUUCCACUCUGUAGGUGCUUCCUCCAGUUCUCAGUCUAGGUUCUCUGCAGGCGUUCACUGGUGUCCUUGCUGGAAAUGUGACCUUGGAAAGCCAAAAUGGGAUCAUUUGGACACCCCCAGCACAGCUCCUGUGCCCCUGAUCCUCACACCCACCUCCCACUGUCAGAUGGCUUUGUUUGUGGCAUCUGAUAGAGCAUGUGAUUUAAAAACUUCCCAGGUCACCUUCGCAGUAUCUCAAAUGCAAUUGAUGGGGAAUCCAGGGAUGCAUUUUAAAGUAAAUUACAUGGAACUAAUAAACCAAUCUGCUUCUGAAGUGCUCUUGUGCCUUUGAAAACACUGACUAUCUGCUGGGGUUUUAAAGGGUAUUUUUAAUUCAUUCUAAUUGAAUUGACCUUAAAAAAAAAGAUAAAAGCAACAACCGAGCAACACAACCCCACCGCGGUGAUGUGGGUGUCUGCUUAGGAGAGUCUGGUUUUAAGCUGUGGCAGUCUGCUCGGACAGCCACCGUGGUUAAGGACACUGCAAUUACUCCCCAGCAAAAGCCUUUGCUGUGCCCCAGAAGCCUGCACCGCCUGCUGUGGUGUACAGGCUGUGCGGUCACGCGUGUGGCCAAGAGCAAGCACGGAAACGUCUCUUCCGAACCGCUUCUGGCAGUUGUCCCUUUUCUGGCUUGGGAGGAAAUUAAGCCCGUGGGAGUGUUGUUCUGGUCAGGGCAACCUGAUCUGCUGCUCUUUGUCUUCCUGCCUUUUAAAUCCAGCUAUGCUCUUAGCCUCCAUCAUUCAGUGAAGUCCAUGCUUGCUUUUGAGGUCCCUUGGGAUCAGGCAGAAUUCACAGCAAUAGCUUUGCGCUGUGGGCCGUGUUCCAAGUGUUUCUGACUGGGGGUUUAGAGAUCAUUAACGAAGUGCCUGUGUGCUGUCAGAUCACCUGGCAGUACAAAUUUGUCUACCUCAAGCAUGAUCCUGUCAUUGUAUUUGUCAGACGAGCUAGAACAGGCAGUCCCCGGCUCACGCUGCCUCCAUGGGGUUUGUGCCAGCUGUGGGAUAACAGAUGGUACCUGCUCUGGCAUAACCUCUUCGCUGCAAUCAGAUGAAGCUGGGGCUGAGGACAGAGGUUACCUGAUCUGGCAAAGAGCCUGCCAGGACAAAGUUGAUGUGCCAAUGCUUCUGGAAUGUGUUUGGACUGGCUCAGGGAUUUAUACAGGAUCAGCACUUCUGGCCUAUGUGCUUAGAGGGUGUUUUCAUCUUGUAUCAAAUGCCUCAGAGCUGAAAAAGUGAUUAAAAUGAUUAAAAAGAGGGUCUAGUAGUAGACAGGUACAGCUGGACUCGAUCUCAAAGGUCUUUCCCAACUGAAUGAUUCCAUGAUUCUAUGUCUCCAGUGCAGUCUGUCUCUGGCUGUUGUCUUGCAAGCCGGUUUUACUCCUGUUUUCUUGAAGCUGAGUAACGUGGAGAUGAGUGUUCUGUGCAGGUCUGGGUUUGGCCCCAGGGUUAUUCAGAUGACCCUUCUUUGUGCUACUGGUGGCUACCUUCUCAGCAUCCCUUCUGAGACGGGGAGAAGGAGGAAGGCUGUAAAGUUUCCUAGGCAAGGUAAAGGGGCAGAAGGGGUUCUGGACCCUCACUGGCACCCCUGCUGCUCCAGCAAGCGGCUGCGGGACUGCUGGGGGAAAGGUGAGGCAUCCUGCAGUCACAUUGAGGUUCCUAUCAGAUUUAUCUCUGAAAGAAGCAUGCUUUCCCCUGCUAAUUUCAAAUGUGUUUAAUUGCAGUGUACUUACAGCGCUGCUGCCUGUAGGCACUGGCAGAGAUGAUGUUCUGCCCUGUGGCUCUGAGGGUUUCUGUGCCAGCUGACUUUCCUAAUUGGCAGUGUUCGCUCUGCGCUGAUAUGGCAAGUCAUAAACUGGAUAACAAGUGUUCUGGGGGAGGGAAAACUGGCAAGAGGAUUCUGGCUCUACCUUGAUACAAAGCACUUCCCCAGGAAUGUGUUUAUCUGGUGUAUUCCCAUCUUGGGCAGGAGGUGCUCCUGUAUUUCUGUUGAAAUAGAGAUGCCCAGGAGGGCUUAAAAAUGCUGCAGAGGGACUUUCUUAGGCUACAAGAAGGUGUAGCAUCAUCUCUGUCAGCUGGCUUGCCUCAUCAGGACAAAAUAGAUAUGCAACUGUCUUAACUAUCCUGAAAGCCUGGGAACUUGCUGUGGGGGGACAGAAGAAGAAGAAAUGAGCAUCACAAAUAGUCUGGAGCUGGGCCAUGGGACAGAGAGCUUUGAAUUUUUAGGUGGGCUGAUGUUUGUAUGGUCUUGUGGCUGAAUGGGGAACCUCCUGAGGCUCAAUAUUAGGGAACUGAUGGGUAUUGAAUCGCACAGCACCCUGUCCUGUGCCACUCCCUGUUGCGAGCCUGGAUGUGGCCCAGCUGCAGCUCAUCUGCAUCAUCAACAGGUUGAUGUUCAGAGUGUCAGGUUUCUGCAGCCUGGGCUGCUCCUGAGCCCAUAAUCAAAUACAAUACCCAACCUAUCAAAUCAAGCAUCUCCCAUAAAAGAAUAGGCAGAGAGAGUUGGGGUUGUUCAGCCUGGAGAAGAGAAGGCUGUGGAGAGACCUUAGAGCAGCUUCCAGUGCUGAAAGGGGCUCCAGGAAAGCUGGGGAGGGGCUCUUCAUCUGACAGUGCAGGGAUAGGAUGAGAGGGAACUGUUUUCAGCCGAAAGAGGAGAUUGAGAUGAGACCUUAGGAAGGAGUAUUUUCCUCUGAGAGUGGUGAAGUCUUGGCCCAGGUUUCCCAGAGAAGCAGUGGCUGCUCCAUCCCUGGAGGUAUUCCAGGCCAGUUUGGAUGGGGUUUUGACCCCCCUGAUCCAGUGGGAGGUGUCCCUGCCCAUGGCAGGGGUUGGAACUGGGUGGGCUUUGAGGUCCUUUCCAAUCAUUCCAUGAUUCCAUGAAUACCGUUUGUGGAAACGGAGAGGAAAAAUGUUGCUGUUCAUUAACUGCAGGUGAAGGGAAGCUCAGGCUUGUGACGACCUGGUUGUGCAGGCGGUUUCCCAGCCUCUAAGCUUCUGAAAAGAGCUGAGUGGUUUGAAGUACUAUGAGCUUUGCCUAGUAUGAAUGUCAGGCAGGUAACAAGGUGCCUGGUGAUCUGAAUUUUAUCAGCAGACAGGAUGAAUGGAUAGGAAAUGAAUGCUGUUAGGCAGAGGCAUUUGUGUAUGAAGAAACCCGCCUGCUGUGGGGCGUAUUCUGUGCAGACGGUCAAAAGGUAUUGUGAAGAGAUUUCUUUUCUGGCUGUGUGGGCACUUCUUUAAAGCUUCCCAUGUUUGCUAUGGAAAUGUUACAUGGCACGAAGAGAAAGAGGUAGAGAAUAAGUGGGAGAUGCAUUCUUUUAAAAGAAAUAAGUGAUUCUAAAACUUAUCUCAAAAUGAGGAUUUCCAUAAUUAAGCAAUUUAGGGAAAGGAGGGUUUCUGAAUGCUUAUGCUUUGGGAAGACUUUGUGAUUAAAUCUAACUUAAAGGUAAUUUGCCCUAUCCCAAUUCAAAUUCCUUUGAAGAAGGGGUGGCUGUGCACUGACCCAGCAGAAGCAGAGCAGGAAGCCUUGUGCUUUGGGAUUAUCCGUGGGUUUUUUCAUGUUAUACUUAACAGCUGAAUGGUGCGCACUCUGGCACCCCGAGACCAGGGCUUGGACUCCCACAAACCUUCCAAGUACUGCUGAGAGGGUCUGGAGGCUGAAGGCUCUGUUUCUGCUCAACAAACUCCUUUAAGGCCUGAUAAAGCCUGACCAUAUUUCAUGUGCAGUUGUGCUGUGCUGUGCCCGCCUGUCUCUGCCUGCAUGGGGAGAGCUCAUGAGCGGCACUUUGCAAGAGCUGUCUCUCACACCUUUACCGCAGAAGUAGCUCAAGCCGGCUCCUGCUGGGGUUUGGAUUUUGGCUUGCCUGGCAAUGUGAUGAUCUCCCCGGCAGCAGGAGCGGGUUGGAUGCCUUUGCCAGGCACCCUCAGGGAGGACUUGUUCCACUAAGCCAUGCUGCUCACAUAGCUUUGGUGCUCAUUGCUUCUGGCCCAAGCUGGUUCAUGGCCAGCUUUGUACCUGUUUUGGUCUCACCCCAGCGCUGUCCUUUGGCAUGGACUGUGUUCUCCAUUCUCAGUGCUUACUGCCUCUAUGCCUCUGUGCUUCUGAAUAAUGGCCUGAUGCUCUCUGGGUGGUGAAACUUUGUUGUGCUCUGCGCUGGCAAUGACUCAACAUCAUCUCCUUGGUGUCUUAAGCAUGUGCCAAGAAACUUGCUCCCUGUUAACUCCUCUUAGUCCUCAGACUGAUCUGUGAAGGUCUCCGAUGUGUGCUAGGAGCAGUUUGAUAUGGCUGCUUUAAUGCCUGCUCCCAGCUCUUUCCGCCUUUAUAGGUUCUUCGUGCUGCCUUUUCCAGCAAAGGUAGGUAAUUCCAUGGGGUAUGGCCUUCCAGGUGCCUUCUGGAAGCAUAGCUGAGGCUCGCUACUCUCCUUUGUUUGGAGGCUCAGCACACCUAAAACCAGCCCUCGGGGCAGCCUCGCACAACCUGCCCUGGGGAAGCUCCCUGCAUGUUUCUCCUCUGCUUUCCCACAUUUCCAUCACAUCAACUGUUCUUUGAAACCUGCUCUGAAGUGUCACAGGGGGCUGACCUCAAUAUUCCUUCUCGUGCUGUCACAUGUGGGUAUUGCUCUAUGGGCAGGGCAGCAGAAAUUAGUGAUUUCUUUCUUUCUUUUUCUUUUUUUUUUUUUAAAUAACCAAACCACACGGAUUCUGUAAUCUGCUUUGGAAUCCGAUGAGCAGCAGAUGGCUCCAUGCUCUUUGCAGGCCCCCAUCCUCUCCAUCCCAACCAAUAACUACGUCAUGUUGUUCAACAAGCCGCGACAAAUAAUAUUUUAAUCCAACCUCGCUUCCCCCUUUUCCCACCCACCCCACUGUGGUUUGUUGGUUCACUCGGUAGCGUGCCAUACCGCAUUUCGUCCUGCCCUCCUCGGAGUGGAAACACAAGACCAGGCUUCAUUACAAGCUCUAUGGCUUCCCCCUACACUUAACAUACCAUACAAAUUGUUUGCUCAACUUUGGCAUCUUGCCUCAGAGGAAUUUUUGUCGUUUGAAGGUUUUAAAUCGGCUAUUUGAGCCACUCGCAAUUGUAAAUAACAGGCUAUUAGUUUAUAAGAGACAUGCUCGCUGGCAUUUCAAACCUCUCGGAGGAACCACUCUGUCUUGGAAGCUCUGUGAUGCCUGUGGAACUGAAUGCUGUUAAAAAGAAACCCCAAAACACUGCCCUGGGAAAUCUCAUUUAUAGAAAAUAAGUGAAACGAAUAGACGUUUUUAGCCACAUGUUACUCAUUUUCUUUUUAUUGCUUUAACAUGUCUUCACUGGAACACGUUCCCGUCGGAGGCUGCCGGUGCCAGCUGUACACCUGGCUGGAGCUGGAAAGAAACCCAGUUUGGCCUUUCAUCUGGGCUGUUUUCUGUUAUGAUUGGAACCCAGGAUUGGCUCCAGAUCAGACAAAGGAGCCAUCCAGAGCUGUGCGUUGGAGCAGAGGAAAGCCUGGCCAGUGAGGCAGCCACGCUGCUGCCUGGGAGUGGGAUCCCUUUCUGGCAAGUCCAAAGCCCCAAGCAAACUUUGUUGCAGUGACUGAAUUUCAUGUGAAAACACCGCAAAGUCGAACUUCUCACGAUCUUCACCCAACAAUAAAACCAGCAGCCUGACUUGGCUCACAAACCAACCCCUGUGCACCCCGUGAUGGAUAUAAACUGAGCCUGAAGUCCGGACUGAGAGCCAAAACCAAGAAAAUUCUGUAUGGUUUUAAGUUUAUUGUGAACAUUUCACCACGUUCUAACAUAUAGUUUCUUGUUCUGGUAACUGCUUAUUCGGUAUUUAAAUUGCAGCAAAGGAUACUCCCUCCGAUGCUGUAACGCAGUCUGCAAUCUUCCUCUUGCUUUAGACGCCUGCCAUGAGGUACCGCGCCGCAACGCCACGGCCCUCCCGGGGGAAAAGGUCAACCUGCUCCCAGAUGUUUUUGCAGCUGGAGGAACAAGGCCUUGUAAUGCUUAAGGAUAAAUUGGUUUCAAAGUAUUUUUGUAGUGCAUAAAAGAAUGUUUUAUACAGAGAGAGAACAAAUCAGGCAAGGAAAGGAUGUCAAAGUCUGCCAGGGAAUUGCUCAGGGAAUUUUUUUCAACUCUGAUUCUACCAGAGGAAAGUCUGAUCGUGAUCAUGGUGUUAAGUGCGAAGCAAACGGCUCGGAUUUACAAUGGGCACAGGCAGGGGGCUGAGGAGAGUGGCAUCCUCUGGGCACGAGAUGCCCUGUGCCUGCGGUACAGCCUGUGCAGCGCAGGGACUGAGAGCUUUGCCUGAUGUACGUGGAGUGAAGGCAUCCCUUCACUUCCCUGGGACAAUGUGAAUUACCUCAGGCGCCACUGUCUUCCUAGUGGAACAUUUUUAAAUGAAAAAACUUUUCUUAAAGUUGGUUGUCCACAGAAUUUGUGUUUCCUAGGGAGUUUGCUCAGCUAACCUGGGAGAAAGCAGUGCUCUUGAAUAAGCCUCUCUCUUGUCUCUCUUACCUGAAAUAUAAUUCCAGUUUCUAAAGUAAAACAACAAAAAAAACCAAGUUCUGAAUCAAUGUUUUGACUUGAAAUGUCAUUUUGUUUUUAAUUGAAGAACCAGAGUGAAAUGACAUUUUAAGUCAAAAUGUUAAUGUUUUGUUUAGACAUCUCCCAUGGGAAAAUUCAGAUGUUCCAUCAGAGCUGACAUUUGCCUGUGAAAGGAUCCCCAAACCCCAGGUUUUCUUCAAACGGGGGUGAGAAGUUUUUCCACGCUGGGCAUCUGAGCAGGCUCUGGCGAGGGGCGGGCAGGGUACCCUCAGGUGGGUCGUUAAUGCACGUGCUCCGGCCGCUCCUAAUAGCAGAGAAGGAGUGGAUUCUACGCUUGGUUGGUGGAGGUGAGCAGGUCACCAGGCUAAUGCUGUGCUAUUAAGCUGCUGCAUCUCUACGAAAUCCUUUGGCACUUGAGAUAAUGAGCUCUGCUAAUUCAGUGUGUUUUAUAUGCCCUUGCUUAGCUAGAGAGAUCAUGCCUCUCCUCCGCUCAUCAGGUGAAGCGGUCCAUCCCGAAACCUGUGGAUUUUGCUAAUUCUGAUUCAAGGAAACACUCAAUUACUGCAAAGUAAAGGUUUGCUUUGCUGGAGAGCUCCGUCUGCAGAAGCACCCACUUGUGCACCGGUGAGACUCCCCUCCUGCAGGGCUUCAGCCCGAAUUUGAGGUGAUUUCCAGGGAAGAAGGAGCAGAAAAUCAAACCCACUGAAGAGGAUGUCUCACCUGUGUCACCCGGCCUGUGAGAGGGAGAGGAGAGACAUAUGCAGGAGCUGCUCAAAGCACAACCUGGUGUGGGGAGAGCAUGGUGGUCUGUGCCAGGUCCAUGGUGUCCCAGCUGCAAGUGGUGGAUCCCCAGCUCCCAUGGAGUCUGAACCAGUGGACAUUCUACCUCCUUUUCCUCCCUGUUGGAUGGAUGAAGUGCAAAGUCAGGCAGGAAUUGCAGGACAGGAGCGUUACCCAAGAAGGCAAAAAGAGAUUUUGACAACGCAGAUCAUCUCAGUGGUAAGAUCAAUGAAUUGGAAACAAGGACGGGAAGAGAGGGAAGAAAUGCUCUUGGGGAAGGGGGUCUCCUGCAGGGUAAGAGUUGUGUGUGCCUCUGGCAAGCUUAGGGCUGGGCUGCUUUGAGUGCAGCUCAGAGCAGGGAAGGGCAAGGAUGAGACACAGACUGUGCUAAUGCCCACCUGCAUGAGCUGGUUCAACGCUGCAGUGCCAGAUCUCACUCCUUUAUGUUUAACACAAUGUGCUCCAGCGGCUGCAGUGCUGCCAGGGGCUGCUCCUCUGGCAUGAGCUGACAAACUGCUGCCCAGGGUCACCAGGGUUCUGGUGUGAGGGCAAAAUUCAAGCCAGCCAGAGCAUCUUUAAACUACCAACUCUGAGAGAUGUUUCAUAGAAUUAUAGAAUGGUUUGGGUUGGAAGGGACCUCAAAAUCAUCCAGUCCCACCCCUCUGCCAUGGGCAGGGACAUUUCCCACUGGAUCAGGUUGCUCAAAGCCCAGUCCAACCUGGUCUUGAACACCUCCAGGGAUGAAGGAGCCACAGCUUUGCUGUUUGCUCGCAGUACCUCUGUUUUGACAGAUGCUGUUCUGUUAUUGGUAUCAAAUCAAGCACAAAAUCCAACCCCAAAACAGAGCAAAAAAGGACCCUUCCCUGCUACCUCUUUUCUUUUUGGCCAAAUUUUAGAAAAGGAGUCUCUGAAGACACCAAGCAAUGCCUCCAGCAGCCACAGAAGCGGCUGACAAAUCUGUAAAGAAAAUAACUUUCAGAAAGCUUUGGUGUUUGCUUCUGCCUUGGCAGCGUCUGUGCCGUGGGAGCGUGCUGGAGGGAUGAGCUGGGGCUGCUGACAGAGAAUGGCCUUGAAAGCAAGAAAGGAUCUGGCCCUGAGAAACGGCACUGAGACAAGGAAUUGGGCAUCGCUUCAGGCCAUUCAGCCCCAUCUUCUGCACACAAAAAUGCUUGUAGCCUCUGAAUGAGAUUCCAGUUUGGAGCUAAACACCAUUUCCCAUACGUGCUUCCCAGCCUUGCCCUGGCUGUUCUUGUGCUGGGCCUUGGGCGCUUGGGUGCUUCCCGGCACAGUGGGAGGAUCACAGCCCUCUGCUCUUCCCAAGACAUGGGUUUUCCACUUCUUCUGUUUUUGUUUUGUGACAAUAAAAUCCCUGUGGUGAUGCAGAACUAUGCAAGCAAUCCCUGCUGCUAAAACCACACCAGUCCACAUAGCGUCCACCGCGAUGCAGGGAGAUGGGAUUGUACUUGGGCUUCAUUGUUUAGUUUUGAGGUGCUUGCAAAUCCUAACAUUGUCUCUAAUUAUUGCUCGAAACCAGACAAACAGCAUCUCCCGUGUUAAGGUGCUGGGCUCUGCAGCAGAACUGGCUGUGAUGAUGUGCGGCGCAUCCUCCCUGCCAGCAGGACCACAGCCCUGGAGGGGUGAUUAGAAGGAGGCUUUUGGAUUGUCAUUUUGCUCUUGUGGGUUGUCGGGCUGCUUUGUCUGUCCGUUUGCAUUCGCUGGGGUUUUCUCCCCUGUCCCCUUUCGGUGAGGCUGGGAGGAAAGAGGCGGCGUUGCUGUGACAGUGCCAAGGCUGAGCGCUGGCUCUGCUGAUCAAAGGUGGGAGCUGAGCAGUUGGUCCUUUUGGCUAUAGCACACGUCUCUUAAUUUCACUUGAAGGUCCCUGCGAGCACGCGCUCGCGCUGGCUGCCAGCAUGCGACCGUCACCUCGUAUUAAUAACGCAGCGGGGCUCGCCAGGUCUCCUCUCUGCGGGGAAGAUCGCAGCUCACACCUCCCGUGCGGAGCAUCCUCCCCUUCGCCUGGCGUUUCGGCUGGUGGAGGCCAGCAGGGCGAGCACGGGUGAAGGGCGAAGUUCACAGCUUGAGCUGGACAUUUCCCAUUACCCUGAGAAACCACAGACCUGUCUGUUCUUUAGUUUAAUUGCUGCUUUUCUGAAACACUUCAAAGAAUGUUUCUAACCACAGUAUGUGGCACAUAUUAUUAGAUUUGUUUUCGGAAUAUAAUGAUAAACUGUUGCCAUUAUGGAGGUAGACAUAAUUAUCUGAAAUCUAUUUUAAUCUAUUCUGCCUUUUAAAUAUUCUAUGUUCCCUUUUAAUAAGAGGUAGCAUCCACCCUUUGAUGUUAUAGCGGAGGUGUAGAAAGCUCUCCUCUCCUUGCUGCAAAUGUUAAUUGAAUAGCCUCCCUUUCUCUUCAUUAGCUGCAUUAGCUUGCAUUAACACCUUUUAAUAUCUCUUUAAAAUCUUGUUCAAUUUACUUUCUUUAAUCUUUUCCUUUCCCAGAGUGUUGCAUCACUUUGAUCCUCAUCUUCUUCUUUUCUUUGAUGACAACUUUGAGUUUAAUUUGUAUUUGAAUUGAAAUGGAAAUUUCCUAAUUCCCCAGAAUUCAGCCUCCGUUUUACACGGGUUUGGCAUCUGCGUGAGUGUUUGGGGCUGCCCGUGCAGGGAGAGGGAGCUGGGAGGGGGGGAACAGCGCAACCACAGAGAUUGCUGCCCUUGUUAGCUUCUCCCCUGACUUCUUUUCCCAGGCAAAGCUAUGCAGCAGAACUUGGGAAGCCCUUCAGCCACCUCGGCCUUGCUGAUGAACGGUGGAGGAUCCUGUUUGUUGAAAACUGUUCCCAGUGCUGAGUGUCGCUGUAUCCUGCUCUGGUCUCCAGGAGUGGAUGUGUUUGUUCUAGGCUGAACAACCCCAACUCUCUCAGCCUGUCCUCAUACGAGAGAUGCUCCAGCCUUGGGAUCACCUCUGUGGCCUCCUCUGGACUCGCUCCAACAGCUCCAUGUCCUUCCUGUACUGAGGGCUCCAGAACUGGAUGCAGGACUCCAGUGCUUAAUUGCUGGCUCUCUCCUUGCAAUCAGCACCUGUAGCACUCUGCAACAGAGCUCGUGAGUCACAAGCCACCCACGUCGAGUGUUUAUUAACCCACAGGGGAAAAGCACCAGGCUUUCCAAAAGCCACAUAGGAGGAGACUUACCCGGUCCCAGCCUCCACCCCUCCCAGCCCCACAUCAGAUGAGAAAACCACAGCAUCCGCUUCAGCGAGAACCAAGCGAGCGAUUUGGGAACAGGACUGUGCAAUAAAUGAGAACUUCGGUGGUUGAUGAGAAAGCAGAGCACCCUGUGUUCCCACCUCGUGCCUUCUCCAACUGCAGGCAGCUUUUGCAGGACAUCUUGAGGAUGAUUGCGGAGGUCAGGACUCAACUGGAAAGACCGCAGCGGGUUGCUGACUGGCAUCCACGGUCCAGAUAAGAUAAAAACAACUGAUGACAGCAGGGAAGUGAAACAGUCAUCUCAGCACUUGGAUUAGUGCCCAGCAAAGAGGAAGGGAAAAAAAAAACCCAUGGAGGGCCGGUGGGGAGGGGAAGGUGGUGGAAUACGUAUUAGAAUAGAAACUCUGGAAAAAGCUAUCAGGAGGCAGCAGAUUUGGGUGUUAAAUAUUUAUGAAUUAGCAGCACUUGUCGCGUUCUCGCUGAGCUGCGAGUUUCCAGGACGGGAAUGUGUGUGGCUGCAAAGCCGCCGUCGCUGCCGUCGCUGCCGCGGCACACAGUGUUGAGGGGAGCACAUGGUGUCGAGGUGGGCAGAGCAAAGGCGUGGAGGAGCAGGAGGCAAGGUGACUGGCUCUGGUAGCUGGCAGUGUUGAGGCUCACAGCAGUGCAGGAUAAACCCCGCAGAAGAGAAGGAAGGAUAAAUGAGGUGCCAUAAAAAUGACUACUAUUAUUCAGAGAAUUCUGCUGAAGAGCAUUGGAGUAAUUAAAUCAUAAUUGCUUAUUACUCAGCUGAAGUGACAUUGUAAGUGGCUGAAGGUCUGUGAUGAGGAAAGGAAGGGGGGGUCUCAGCUUUUCUGCUGUGCCCUCAGGUUUGCCUCCAUCCUGCUGUGGAUGUGUGCAACUCAUGGCAGCCAAGUAGAAAACCCAAGCCCUCAGUGAAGGUCGAAGGUCCCCCCUGAACCCAUAAAGCUUGUUUUCACCAUGACUUCCAAACAGAGAACCCUGUGAGUGCUGUGGCAGGUGCAGCAUCAUCAGUUGUUGUGGGACAGGGAGCUGGGAACAGCUUCAUCUUGCAGGGAAUAGUUUGGCAUUGUGCAUAGCCCAGAGGUUUGGAGUGGCUCCUUCCUAAAAAGCAAGGGCCCUGUGGCUGCGGUGGAAGCACAUCUUCAGCCCCAGCUGGCGACCGUGCAUGAGCUGUAAGUUUGGUGCUGCCUUCUCCAAGCAUUGGGGCUGCGGCAGCGCUGUUGGCUUUAAAUCUCUCUGCCCUGGCCUCGGCUGAUGUUUCCUCCCCAGAAAAGGGGUGGGUUCUCCUUCCAAAUGCUUCCAGUCCCCACCACACGAAGAGCUCCUGCCAGAUCCAUGAAGCCUCCAAGGAGAGAGGCAGCAUCCCAAACACCACGGCGAGGUUGGGGGAGAUCGGCUGAUAAAUGUUGAUGUAUUAAUGGCAGCCACAACAUUGUACUCCUAUCCAGAUCGGGAUAAACAGCAAAGCUGGCUCCAUGGUCCUUGUUUUGUGCAGCAAGCACCAGGACUCCCACUUCCUGGGAUUUUCCCAAGUUGUUCAUGAUUUCCCAGCCCUCUGAUAGCAGCGGGGGGCUAAAUCAAAGAAGAAAAUCCUCGCAGCCUGCCUUCCCGCUGUAAUGCCGAUGUUUGCUCGGUGCCAGGGAUGAUGCGCUGGAUGUGGCUUGCCCGUGAGCCAGCUAGCACUCCCGACCCUGGGGUGGCAGCUCUGACGCCGGAGGAGGACAGAGCCCUGCAAGCGCUGUGGGAGCUGCUGUGUGAGGAGUGAGUGCAGCACAUUGUCCCUCGAUUUUAUCCAUGUGUGUGGAAGGAAAGGAUGCAAGACCCUGGGCUCCUGCCAUGUGCAGCUCUUUCCAUCUGGGGUACUCAGCAAAAGCAGCCUGGGAGUGGAUAUGAAGAUUGUCCUGGUCACCCACCCUUGUCGUCUUCGGGAAAACAUGUCUUGGAGGGAUGCUGGCAUGGGAAGCCAUCAGCACUCUGCACCUCCCUGCCAAGGUCAAUCUUGGGCGCUGGCAGUCCAAUCGGAUGGCACGCUCCUAUCUGGGAUUCUUCACCACUGUGUCAGCACGAUUUCUUCAUCCCCUACAGACAGACAUGUCAUCGCCUGGAAGAGAGAGGGAGAAAUGGGAGAGGCUUGUUGCUGUCAGGAGCUGAAGAGCCCAAGUGGGCAGGAGAAGACGGGUGUCUGUGGGGAGGUGGAGGACCAGGAGAAGUCUGGGGAAGCCUGCUUCAGCUGUGGUUAUAGCCAGGACUGUGCAUGGGAAGGCAGCCAGAUCCAGACCUGAUACUGCCACGUGCAUCCCACCAGCACCUUCGCCUGGCAGUGAGUGAGGGAUGAGAGCAAGGAGGAGCUCAAGGCUGGGCCAAGUCCAGGAAAGGACUCCCUGAGAUGAGAUGCUGCUGGCAGAAUCUGGAACAAGCAGUGACAGGAUCUGUGCCUGCUCCAGCACAGGGGCUGCCCUGGGUGCUUUAGCAGCCCUUGAUGUCAGAGCAUGGUUUUCAAAGUUGAGAGAAAAUGCUCUCCCGAGUUGUGGUUCUUCGGAAAUAUUCCUGGGACAAUCUGGAAAGUCAUCGUGGGCUUCAAACCCAGAGCAGUGCCCAAGGCUCUGCACCUUUGCAAGGCAUCAGCCUCUGCCUGGGUUUUCCUGUGGGUUUCACCACCAACUCUCAUGGGAGCAGCAAAAUAAUGAGCGGCUUUUGUUAAACCUUCAGCUCCUGGAAUUGUGUUAGGUGAAAAUCCACUUCCUUAGAAGAGAGUUGGGUUUCGGCUUUCAUGGCCUGAAAAUAUGAACACGAGUCUCCCAAACUAAAUAAAAAUAAGACAAUAUAUAUUACAUUUUAAAAUCUUGUGACAUUUUGGGGACUGACUCAUGAUUUUCGAAUGUUUGGAACCAGUAAGGCUGCAAUCAAUUUCGCUGCUUCCUUGGCUGAUUACUUUCAGAGAGGUUUUAAUUCUACUAUAAAUACUUCAGCUUUACAACAGCAGUCUCAGUCAGAUAUGCAAUAAUACCCAGUUCUGCAUUUCAGGUAAGGCUUUAAACUAAAUUAAAUCUCCUCAGUGUAGCUAAUCAGAGAUUAGCUUUGAUCACAGUUUGUUAGCCCAGGCCAAUCCUAUUCAAAUCCUCUGGCAGACCUAAUAUCAAGAGUGCUUUGUCCUGUGCUUAUAACAGGAAGCCCCGUCCCCAGGGCAAGGCAGAGUAGCUUUUUCAUCUUCUACUUUUAGAUAUUUCUCUACAAGUGCUGAAAGAUGUUUCUGGUGUGGUCGAUGUCUCCUGCUGCUCUGGGACGGUUGGUGCUGGGCAUCCUGUGCAUGCGGCUGGGCAGGCGAGCGCUGGCUUUAGGUCUGAUCUCUGCCAGGUCCCAUCCCUUCCUCUGGGCUUUCCUUCCUCUCCCCAUCAUCCAAAAAGAGAGUGAAGAUUUGUAUUGGAAGUGGGAACAGGAGUUGGGGCAUUUUGCUAGAGGCCAGCAAGACAGAACCAAGAACAACACCAUGUUGAGAUCUUCAAGUUCAGAUUUAGUAACAACUACUGAAAAGGAGGUUGUAGCAAGGUGGAUGCUGGUUUUUUUCUCCCAAGUAAAAAGCAAUAGAACAAGAGGAAAAGGUCUCAGGUUGUGUCAGGGGAAGUUUAGACUGACUAUUAGAAAAGAUUUCUUCGCUAAAAGAGUGGUGAAGCCCUGGCAGAGGCUGCCCAGGGCAGAGGUGGAGUCUCCACUCCUGGAGGGGCUCAAAACAUGUGUGGAUGUAGUGCUUAGGGACAUGGUUUUGUAGGCACAGUGGUGGUUGGACUGGGUGAGCUUAGAGGUCUUUGCUGUUUGCUGCUUUCUGCUUUAGGUGUAUUUUAAAGCAAUGCAAAUGGUGUCAAGCACAAGGGGUGUAAUAGCAAAAUGAAAUCAAGGUAGGAUCUUGGUGCAACUGAAGUUACUUUCCAACAGCUCCCCUAGAUGACGAGGGUCCACAGAGUUGCUACGCUUGCUCCCUGCAGCCCAUAUCUGCAGUUACAUGCCUGGACAGGUAUGUGCAUGAGUGUCCUCUAACCACACGGUGCCCUGUCCUGCAGUGGGAGCAUUGCCGUGUCCUCUGUGCCAGCCAGAGCAGAUCCAGGGACAUCGGCCGGGCUCUUUCUGCCGAGGUGCAGCUGCAGAGGGUGCAGCGUAACAUAGGAAGAAUUGCUCUGAGCUCUUCCCCCCCUGCACCCAGUGCACAGCACUUGCGGCCCCACUGUAAUGAGUCGAACCAACCCUUUCGCCCACUUAGAAACGUCCUCCACUGUUAUUGUGCCUUUGUAUAAUUUAUAGCCCGGUAAGUGUCUGAGAUCACAAAUGCUGACAUUGAGCUUCCUCAGCUACUCAGCAGUAUUCUCGUUUGAAACAGUGCAGUGUGACUGCCGCUAUUGAUUUUAGGGGGUUGUGCGAUGGGUAAGAGUUCCUCUGAGCCAACUGGUAUAUUAAGCAAUCAUUUCUAUAGCAGAUGACAUAACUCCCCCGGCAUCAGUUUGCCCUAAUGGGCCUGGUAUUACUCAUGUGCUAAUUGAUUGGGCAUGGAGAGGAGAAAAGCUACAUUCGCUCGCGAGGUGAUUUUUAUGGCCAGGCUCGUAGCAGAGGUAAUUUGCUGAAAACAUUCAGUCUCUCUCUGGUUUCAUACCAUCAUCUGUGCUCCUGCACUCCAUCUCCGUGCUGUGCUUCAAUCAGCAAACCGGGCUCCGUUAGGGGCGUCUGAGGUAAAGUCCCCAGGGAGACACCAUGACAGAAUAUUUCUUCCUUCCCUGCCUUAUGUUAAAGCGUAUAAGGAGAUCGGGAGCAGCACAGAGAGACCUGCUGCUGGCUCUGCCCAGGGCGUCCUGAUGAUGUGGGACCUAGUGCUCAGUUUCCCAGCCCCAGGGUGGGUUGGGCUUCAGAACCAUUGUUUGAGUUGAAACACUCUGUUUUGAGCAAAACUAUUGAUUUCUGCAGCAGUCAGAGAGAGUUUCAUCUGCAAAAUGUUUUUGCCUGCAUUUCCUGCACAAAAAUCCCCAGGAAUGGGGAAAUCAAAACAAACCCUCCUCCUCUGCUGUAAGAGAACUGGCAGUUUAACAGCUCUGGGAAGGCAGUUAGAACCUUGACUUGACCUUUCCUCCCAAAAGCAGCCCCUUAAACACCCUAGACCUGUCCUGUGUCUCUUUCCGGGUGGUGCUCCCUGUGAUGGGAACCCCCUGUGGAGCGUGGAUGGGUGGGCAGCACCCAGCCCAGGGCAGAUGCUCUCAGGCAGUGAGGAAAAGGGUCUGACAGAUGAGGACUGGUGCCUUUGAAGGAGUCAGCUGCCUGCCUGAAAAAUCAAAACUGGAGCUUAGAGCAGCUUGGAAUAUCACUAGAUCUGGGAAGAGAUGUCAGAGACUGGUCUUCUUUAUCUCGCCAAUGACUGAUGGCUUUCUAAAGCUGACAAGGUGAGCGCGUGUAUGUGUAACGGCACGUAACAGCCAACUAACCUGAAAGUGCUGCGUUUUUCCCAGAGCUGGAAGAAAGCCAGUCAGUCCUGAGGGAAAAAACAAUAUCCAGAGGCUUUUCUGAAUCCCACUGCUGAGCCAGAUUAGACACACUGUAAAGUGUUAGGCAGUCCUUUGGUUGGGAUUGAGGCUGGGAGAAGAGUGUCAAGCUAUCCCCAGCUUGAACCAGUUGACCCCACUGUAAGCCCUGUGCUGGGAUGGGGAUGCACAAGCCUCCAAGGUCCCUUGAGACACCCUGACCUGGGACAGGGCUGCUCAAACCGGCCAAGAACCCUCAAGCUCUCCUGAGCUGGGACAAGGAUGCCCAAGCUAGCCAAGCCCCCCACCCUCACCAAGCCUUGUGCCAGGAAGAGGAUGCCCAUGCUGGUUGAGCUCCCUCUGUCCCCCUUGAUGCCCCUGAGCCUGGACAGGGCUGACCAAGCUGGCCAAGCCCCCUGAGUCCCCCUGAGAUGAGAUGGGUCUGCUUAAACCAGCCAAGCUUCUCCCAAGACUCUAAGCCAGGAUGGGGCUGCCCAAGACACUGAGUCCCCCUGAGCCUCAGGUCCAGCCCUGCAGAGGAUCCACGGCUCAUGGUGCAGCACCUCCUGCUCCAACCCUUCUCCUUGAAUCCCCUGGUUAAUUCCUCCAGGUCAUUCCUUUCUGCAUCCCUGCCUGCUGCAGGGUCUGGAUGCGGGUGCAGGGGCUGCCAUCUGUUUCUCUGGGGACCCCGGCACCGGCUGUGCAACCAGGUCUUUAUUUUUUCAGCCAGGACAUUUGCAUCCCGCUCUGGUUGCACUGCGAGCAUCCCCAGUCAUCAGGGAGAUGUUUGCUUUGGUGUGACCUUUGUAUCUGUGGAAGAGACUCCAGACAAGGUCAGCGUUAAUAAUAACAAGGCUCUUCUCCCGCGAUCGAUGCGGGCGCUCUCCCUUUUGCACUGUCUGCACAUCGUGGUCCCUCCAUCAGACAGUGUCACCAGCAGAAAUGACGUUAGAGACACACAGGCUCCAAACGCUGAGUCGACGGGAUGGUUUAGUGCUGCCAGCGCAGGAAUUUGCCUCACCUGUUGAUUCGUUCCAAACUAAUCCCUUCCUCCAAGUGGGCAAACAGUUUGGCUUGGCUGCCCUCGCCUGACUAAUCAGCAGAAUAUUGAAUGGAUCGAUAGCCUCGUGGCCAAACCCUUCAUGCUGCCAACGAGGCCGUGUGCUUACAGGGCCAUCGAUAUGCAGCUAUUUAAUUUGGGGUGAAUUGUGUAAUUCUGAUACCCUCUUGCACUGGUCACGGUAGGUUUUUUAGAGAUUUUGGAGUGUAUAAAACCUACUGUUCUUAAGGAGAUUUCCAAGAUAAAACUACCACCAGGAGGGAAAAGUGAGAAGGGAUGCGGUGCCUCUGGAUGUAGGCAUCAUUCAGGAGCUGCGCAUCCACAAUCUCUGUCAGAGCACGGUGGGUGUCACAAUGGAGCAACCCCCGUGCAAAAUGUCAUAAAACAGAACUUUUCCUUUUCUGGAAAGGAAAAUAUACUCAAAUUCAUUUUGGGUUGAUAAAAACAUUCCACUGCAAGUUUGACUUGAUGUUUAGUUACGCUUAUAAGAGGUAACAGUGACAACAGGCAACGACAAAACCUCAGAAGAUCAAACCGCAGCUUUUUAUAAGUGCUCCUUCAGUCAUUUUGCAGAUGACACUGAGCUGCAUAAAAGUGUCUGUCUGCUGGAGGGCAGGAAGGCUCUGCAGAGGAACCUGGACAGGCUGGAUCCGUAGGCUGAGGCCAACUGUAUGAGAUUCAACAAUGCCAAGUGCUGGGUCCUGCGCUUGGGUCACAACAACCCUGUACAACACUCCAGGCUUGGGAAAGAGCGGCUGGAAAGCUGCCUGGUGGAAAAAGGACCUGGUUGAUAGUGGCUGAACGUGAGCCAGCAGUGGCCCAGGUGGCCAAGAAGGCCAACAGCAUCCAGGCUUG